This 544-nucleotide ribosomal RNA is filed under the name Ochrolechia subplicans subsp. hultenii. Its description in RNAcentral is "eukaryotic LSU rRNA". The stretch from base 184 to 337 matches the Rfam family "5.8S ribosomal RNA". The record is from RNAcentral. Lineage: Eukaryota; Fungi; Ascomycota; Lecanoromycetes; Pertusariales; Ochrolechiaceae.
CGAGAGAGGGUCCUCCGGGGCCCGACCCUCCCACCCCGUGCGUACGUACCUCUGUUGCUUCGGCGGGCCCGCGGGUCGCCUUUGGGCCGCCCGCCACCGGCUUCGGCUGGUCCGUGCCCGCCGGGAGCCCCCCCAUCAAACCCGACCGUCACCAGUGGAGUCUGAGUGCGACGCAAUGACUAAAACUUUCAACAACGGAUCUCUUGGUUCUGGCAUCGAUGAAGAACGCAGCGAAAUGCGAUAAGUAAUGUGAAUUGCAGAAUUCAGUGAAUCAUCAAAUCUUUGAACGCACAUUGCGCCCCCUGGUAUUCCGGGGGGCAUGCCUGUUCGAGCGUCAUUACACCUCUCAAGCCUCGCUUGGUGUUGGGCCUCCGUCCUUCGCGGGCGGGCCCGAAAGUCAGUGGCGGAGUCGCCGGGCUUCAAGCGUAGUAACAUCCGUCCCGCUUUGGAAGACCCGGGGGCGUCCGGCCAGUCAACACCUCCGAUCAUCAAUGGUUGACCUCGGAUCAGGCAGGGAUACCCGCUGAACUUAAGCAUAUCAAUA